GUGCUCGCUUCGGCGCACAUAUACUAAAAUUGGAACGGUACAGAGAAGAUUAGCAUGGCCCCUGCGCAAGGAUG
This 74-nucleotide small nuclear RNA is filed under the name Castor canadensis (American beaver). Lineage: Eukaryota; Metazoa; Chordata; Mammalia; Rodentia; Castoridae. The record is from RNAcentral.